Molecule: long non-coding RNA, 246 nt
Organism: Engraulis encrasicolus (European anchovy)
Lineage: Eukaryota; Metazoa; Chordata; Actinopteri; Clupeiformes; Engraulidae
Exons: 3
Source: RefSeq, a predicted model, not a curated record
CAUCUUUUAAAAACCCUGAGCCAACAGCAUGGUAGUUCCUGCUGCUUUGGUGUGUGUGCCAGACUGGCCACUUUGGCCACACACAUGGGCCUCAGGCUAAGGCCUAGCUUUGAUGUAGCCAUCUUGGGCCUGCUUACAGGUAGCAUGGCCUUUAACCCUGUACUGCUCCCAGUGUAGGUCGUGCUGCUGUCUUGUCUUGUCUUGUGUUUUUGUUUUCUUUUGAUUUUGUGUUCACUUACUGUCUGU